This 499-nucleotide ribosomal RNA is filed under the name uncultured bacterium. RNAcentral describes it as "partial 16S ribosomal RNA". It matches the Rfam family "Bacterial small subunit ribosomal RNA", at positions 30 to 523 of the family's 1533-position model. The record is from RNAcentral.
AUUGAACGCUGGCGGCAUGCCUUACACAUGCAAGUCGAACGGCAGCACGGGAGCAAUCCUGGUGGCGAGUGGCGAACGGGUGAGUAAAGUAUCGGAACGUGCCCAGUCGUGGGGGAUAACGUAGCGAAAGUUACGCUAAUACCGCAUACGAUCUAUGGAUGAAAGCGGGGGAUCGCAAGACCUCGCGCGAUUGGAGCGGCCGAUAUCAGAUUAGGUAGUUGGUGGGGUAAAGGCUCACCAAGCCGACGAUCUGUAGCUGGUCUGAGAGGACGACCAGCCACACUGGGACUGAGACACGGCCCAGACUCCUACGGGAGGCAGCAGUGGGGAAUUUUGGACAAUGGGCGCAAGCCUGAUCAGCCAUGCCGCGUGCAGGAUGAAGGCCUUCGGGUUGUAAACUGCUUUUGUACGGAACGAAAAGGUUUGGCUUAAUACGUUGAACUCAUGACGGUACCGUAAGAAUAAGCACCGGCUAACUACGUGCCAGCCGCCGCAGUAA